Molecule: long non-coding RNA, 2735 nt
Filed under: Lathyrus oleraceus (garden pea)
Lineage: Eukaryota; Viridiplantae; Streptophyta; Magnoliopsida; Fabales; Fabaceae
Description: Pisum sativum (pea) long non-coding RNA (PSAT_LNC022578)
Source: RNAcentral
UUUGCUCCAAGCACGGGGUUGGUCCAGACUACCGUCUCUAUCGCCUGUCAACCACAAGUCGUUCACAUUCCCGUACGUACAAAAGUAAGUUCUUAACGUUAACUAUAUUUACUUACUUUACCGAUUAUUAUUUCUAAAUAAUAUAUUUACUUUUUUGGGGCAGAUGGUCGGCUCGUGGUAUGAAUUUGAACAGAUUCCUAGACACUAUAUUACUCAGUAUCACAAUCUCUUGGAUCACCUUAGACCAUCAAAUGUAUUGCCAAUAAUCGAAUUAAUUCGUAAUAAUUUAUUUUUAAUAUCACCCAUUUUAUCAUCUAAUAUAUUUUUCCUCUUAAGCUCAUUUGGCGUCCAUAUCUAAACUUGGAUGAUGAACAUGAAAUCAACGAACAAGAUGCAUCUGGUUGGAUUGCAUGCACACCGACACGACGAUGUUUUAAGUGAUGAUGUGAUACCAACCAAAGAAAAACCAACUCAUAGUUAUAUGGCUUGGUACAUAUCAGUUGAAUUUGAGUUUCUCGUCGAGGAUAUGUACCUAUACGACCCACGCCAAGUCACUUACACACAAAAAGGUUGAACAUCUAAUCCCCACAAAAUUACCAGACUGGUUACUCACAACUCCAUACCCAACAAAAUUAUCAGCCAACAAACAGACAAACCUACGACCUUAACAUGUCAAACACCCAACCAUAAUACCAAAGGCAUACCCUGUACCACCACCACCAAGAUGAUUAUUAUCAAGACACUCAACAUCGAUAUGUCCCUAACACAUCAUCCUACCAUAGCCAAAACACUCAGCGAUCAUUUAACACCAACUGUCCCUUCUACUAUAGUCAAGAAGCCCAAACAUCACAAAACCAAAACAUAACAACUAGAUGGCUACCAAACAUCGCGAUAACCAUUUCAACUUUUCCCCAACAAAUCAUUCACACCAAUGUCGCCCUUUAAUCAUCUCAGGGGCACCCUAAUAACCCAAACACACCCCAACUACUCUGAAAAGGGUCACGAACUCAGCUAUGGCGAUAACGCUUCAUUGCAUUCACACGACUUCAUGGAAUUGACUGAACUUCUUAGGGAAUCUGCUGCAGGUGGUGGUCAUGUUCCUGGAUCCUCAAACACCUGUGGUGAAUCAACAACGCGGGCUAGAGCCACGCGUUAAGGUAGCUAGGGGAUAUGGAACCUGAGGUCGGUUGGGUCAUCCUGGUUAACGACAUCUGUGUUUUUGGUUUUCGUAUGUAAACGUAAACUAAUAUUAAUAUUUUCGAUUUCAACUUUUACAUAAAAUAUCAAUUAUUAUAAAAAAAACAUAACCCACACAGGUGUCAAGCCAAUUGGCGCCAGCACUAUAACCUUACACAUAGUCGCCAAUCAGAUUGACAACACUAGGUGCAAAAGUCAAUCCAAUUGGCGUCUCUUCUUAAAAUCCGAGUGAAGUCGUCAAUUGGUCUGUCACUAAUGCUUUGACGAGUUUUUUUUGAAAAUUCGAGUAGUUUGAGAAAUUAUCUGAAAUGAGUUAUUUUGGGAUUUUUUUUUAAACUGGAUUAUUUAAGUAAAAAAAUCUAAAAAUUAUUGUAUUUUAUUGCAAAAAAAAAUAGUAUCACCAUUAUUAAUUGCGUGUUUUAAAAUAUAUAUUAAAUUAUGAUUGAAUCAAACAAUCAUAUUAAAUAAUAAAUACAUGGUAAUUUCUUUAUUAUAAAAAAUAGUGAAUAAAAAUAAUUGUUUUAAUUGCGUGUUUUAAAAAAUGAUGUUAUGAUUUGAUUAAAAUUUGGUUUCUAUAGUUAUUAACAUCAUCAAAAAUAUUAAUAACAAUAAAAAAUUUUAAUUGGCAAAUCAAAUUAAAUAUUAAAAUUGGUAAUGAAAUAUUUGAAUACCAAUAUUUUUUAAACAAAAUUUUGAUGGAUAAAAAAUAAAGAUUUUUCUUAAAAUAACCACUAUUUUUAAAAUAAUACAUAAAUAAUCAACUUUUAAAAUUAAUUACCAAUAUAACCAAAUUUUCAAACAAAAAAAAAUUAUCCGCCUAAAACACUUGUCAUGCCGAAUUGCGCAUGCAUUUGCUAGUUGCACUAAGGCAUUAUGCAUAGCGGCUACUGCAUGCACCACAAACCAAUGCAAUUGGUGUAUGCUUUGUCGUGUUGCACUCUGGCGCAUGCAUGCAUCACUUGGUGCAUGCGUUACUCCAUGUGGCUACUGCUUUUUUUACACCUCUAUAAAUACAAUAUCUCCUACCAUUAUUUUUCACACUUCUUCUUACCAUCUCCUUCCAUUUUUCUUCAAAAUGUCUUCAUAUAUGUGUCUUUAUAUUCACAAGAGAAAUGAUGAUUUAAUUUAUUCGGCAGUAAAACCUCCGAUGAAGAUUCGACUAUGGAAUAUAGAGACGUUCAAACUUCUUAACAUGACCUUGAUCAGUUAGUUAAAUGGAGACAUUGCAGAGGAUGAAAAGAUCAGAAAAAUUCAAAGGCUUUAUACCACAUUUAACCAAAAUGGAGAAGUUCGUUUCUGGGUGAAUGUUAAAAUUGACAUAGAUGUUCACAGGAUGAUGUAUAGUUCCCACAAAAUUGUUUUGAUGAUUGUAAUCACAUAUUUAUGUUGUUUAGUUGUAUUUGUUUGUGUUGUUUUAUUAUUAUAGUUGUUUGUGUUGUUGUUUAGUUGUUGUUUAAAUUAUUGUUUAGUUGUUGUUUUCAAGUUAUUGUAACUGAAUGUUAUGAUAUUUAUGAAAUGAAAGUUGUUUUUAAUAUAAA